Molecule: ribosomal RNA, 500 nt
Filed under: uncultured bacterium
Lineage: Bacteria
Description: partial 16S ribosomal RNA
Rfam family: Bacterial small subunit ribosomal RNA
Source: RNAcentral
AUUGAACGCUGGCGGCAGGCCUAACACAUGCAAGUCGAGCGGAUGAGUGGAGCUUGCUCCAUGAUUCAGCGGCGGACGGGUGAGUAAUGCCUAGGAAUCUGCCUGGUUGUGGGGGACAACGUUGCGAAAGGAACGCUAAUACCGCAUACGUCCUACGGGAGAAAGCAGGGGACCUUCGGGCCUUGCGCUAUCAGAUGAGCCUAGGUCGGAUUAGCUAGUAGGUGAGGUAAAGGCUCACCUAGGCGACGAUCCGUAACUGGUCUGAGAGGAUGAUCAGUCACACUGGAACUGAGACACGGUCCAGACUCCUACGGGAGGCAGCAGUGGGGAAUAUUGGACAAUGGGCGAAAGCCUGAUCCAGCCAUGCCGCGUGUGUAAAGAAGGUCUUCGGAUUGUAAAGCACUUUAAGUUGGGAGGAAGGGCAGUAAGUUAAUACCUUGCUGUUUUGACGUUACCAACAGAAUAAGCACCGGCUAACUUCGUGCCAGCCGCCGCGGUAA